GAUGAAGAACGCAGCGAAAUGCGAUACCUGGUGUGAAUUGCAGAAUCCCGUGAACCAUCGAGUCUUUGAACGCAAGUUGCGCCCGAAGCCAUUUGGUUGAGGGCACGUCUGCCUGGGCGUCACAUAUCGUUGCCCGAUGCCUAUUGCACUGUGAUAGGAAAUUCUAGGGCGAAAGAUGGCUUCCCGUGAGCGUUGUUGCCUCGCGGUUGGUUGAAAAUUGAGUCCUUGGUAGGGUGUGCCAUGAUAGAUGGUGGUCGAGUUUGCACGAGACCGAUCAUGUGUGCGCUCCCCAAAAUAUGGACUCUUUGACCCCACACGCGUCUUUUGACGCUCAUGACGAGACCUCAGGUCAGGCGGGGCUACCCGCUGAGUUUAAGCAUAUCAAUAAGCGGAGGA
RNAcentral lists this unclassified non-coding RNA (396 nucleotides) under soil metagenome. Its description in RNAcentral is "partial contains 5.8S ribosomal RNA, internal transcribed spacer 2, and large subunit ribosomal RNA". The stretch from base 1 to 122 matches the Rfam family "5.8S ribosomal RNA", at positions 35 to 154 of the family's 154-position model. The record is from RNAcentral.